RNAcentral lists this non-coding RNA (30 nucleotides) under Rattus norvegicus (Norway rat). The record is from RNAcentral. Lineage: Eukaryota; Metazoa; Chordata; Mammalia; Rodentia; Muridae.
UGAUGAAAGCUGACUAGAAAACUACCUCAU